AUAAAUAUAAGUCAUAAGCAUACAUAUCAAAACUGAAAGAAUUAAUUCAACAGUCAAGUAAAGGCUAACUAAAA
Pangasianodon gigas (Mekong giant catfish) is the source of this 74-nucleotide non-coding RNA. The record is from the annotation of a GenBank genome assembly. NCBI's taxonomy places the organism in Eukaryota, Metazoa, Chordata, Actinopteri, Siluriformes, Pangasiidae.